This 465-nucleotide ribosomal RNA is filed under the name uncultured bacterium. RNAcentral's name for it is "bacterial SSU rRNA". It matches the Rfam family "Bacterial small subunit ribosomal RNA", at positions 338 to 795 of the family's 1533-position model. The record is from RNAcentral.
CCUACGGGGUGCACCAGUGGGGAAUAUUGCACAAUGGGCGCAAGCCUGAUGCAGCCAUGCCGCGUGUGUGAAGAAGGCCUUCGGGUUGUAAAGCACUUUCAGCGGGGAGGAAGGCGAUAAGGUUAAUAACCUUGUCGAUUGACGUUAUCCGCAGAAGAAGCACCGGCUAACUCCGUGCCAGCAGCCGCGGUAAUACGGAGGGUGCAAGCGUUAAUCGGAAUUACUGGGCGUAAAGCGCACGCAGGCGGUCUGUCAAGUCGGAUGUGAAAUCCCCGGGCUCAACCUGGGAACUGCAUUCGAAACUGGCAGGCUAGAGUCUUGUAGAGGGGGGUAGAAUUCCAGGUGUAGCGGUGAAAUGCGUAGAGAUCUGGAGGAAUACCGGUGGCGAAGGCGGCCCCCUGGACAAAGACUGACGCUCAGGUGCGAAAGCGUGGGGAGCAAACAGGAUUAGAUACCCCAGUAGUC